AUCAGUAUGAAUUUAAUUUUGGUUCUGAUUGAACGUUUUUCAGUAGUUUUAAGACAUGCAAAUCGUUGUUCUAAACAAAUUUAUAAAUUAAAAUUACUAUUAAUAGUAAUUUUAAUAUUUUAAAUUAAUAGGAAUAAGGUGUAAAGGUGAGUAUUGUAAAUUAGAUACCUUAUAGACUCCUUAAUUCGGAGAUAAUUUUAUUUCUCUAAUGUUAAUCAAAUUUGGUAAACUAAGAGAUACUUAAUUAAAAAAUAGAAAAAAAAAGGGCUUUAUUUUUUACCGUUUUGCGGUAGAAUUUAUUUAAGAUAUUAUCUGGCCUUCUCUAAAAUUAAAUAAUAUUAUUAUAAUAAUAAUAACAAGGCCCUUUGGGCGUAAUAUUAAUUAGGGUUAUAUUCUUUAAAAAAGGAAAGUAAAAGAUAAAUUAGCUAUUUAUUAAAAAAAGGAAAUUUUCUGCUAUAAGAUUCGAUUUAUUUUGUUUAAAGGUAGUUGGUGGGGUAAAUGCCUACCAAGCCUACGAUCAAAAGCCAUGUUUGAUAGAACAGAUGGCCACAUUGGGAAUGAAAUGCCCCAAGUAGUGUAAACUACCAGCAGUCAAGAAUAUUAGUCAAUGCUCGCAAGAGUGAACUAGCUAACUGAAAUCACAUGAGUCAUGCGUAAUUGUUGGUGAUUGUGAUAACGUAAGGGAAAAAAAUGAUAUUACCUUACUAUUAGUGUUGUCCAAAACUGGUGCCAGAAGACUCGGUAAGGCCAGAGACGCAAACGUUAGUCGUCCUAAUCAGGCGUAAAGGGUAUGUAGGCUGCUUUAAAAGUUUUAUUUAUAAAUAGCUCUGUAACCAUAUAUAAAAAUGUGAAUAAAAUAACAAGGCCCUUCGGGGUAAAUAUAUAUGUAACAGUAUAAUAUAAGAUUAAUUAAAGCUAGAAUCAAAUUGGGGAUAAACCGAAUAAUACUUAGAGUAGGGAUUAUAUCCGUAGAUACUAAGGGGAAUACUAAAGGUGAAAGCUUUUUAUCUACUAAUGAUUGACGCUGAGAAACGAAGGUGAGAAUAGGAAAUAGGAUUAGAUACCCAGAUACCUCUCACUGUCAACGAUGAAUGGUGGUUGUUAGUUUUAAUAAAAACUGGUAACGAUGUUAACACGAUAACCAUUCCGCCUUGCGAGUACGGUUGCAAAACUGAAACCAAAAAAAUUAGUCGGUCUCGAAGCAAACGAAGUGAAGCAUGUUAUUUAAUACGAGAAUACGCGUAAAACCUUACCAGUUCUUGCAUAUCCAAUUUUCCCAAAUUAAAUAAAACUAAUUAGGGUCUUUUAAAUAAGAAAAAAUUGAGUAGUUUCUAAGCUAAAAUUUAGAAAUUCGUUUACAGGUGUUGCAUGGCUGUCGUCAGUCCGUGCCGUGAGAAGUGAGGUUAACUCCACUAACGGACGAAAUCCCUGUUGUUAAUUUAUACUUAACAAUUAAUGAUUUUUACAUAUUUUCAUUUGGGGCUAAGACAAGCCGUUAUGGCCCUCAUGAACUGGGCUAUAGACGUGCCACGAAAACUUUUACAAAGUGACGCAAAAACCAGACCUUUUUACUAAUUGCUAUUUAGCAAAAAGUUAAUAUUUUAAAUGCCCUUACCACGUAGUGGAAGGGGUAAGUAUAUGUAAUAGUAUAGAAUAAAUUAAAAUAAUAGGGUUAUAAGGAAUAGCUAAUCAUUAAAGAAAGUUAAAAAAUUAAAUAUAUAGACGGAUUGUCGCCUGCAAUUCGGCGGCAUGAAGAAGGAAUUUCGAGUAAUCGUUGAUCAGUAGCGCAACGGUGAAGAAUGCAUUCGGGAUGAACUAACUGUCUGUCGCUGGGAAGAAGCUUAACUUGGGGGAAACUGCCGCGAGGUUAUAACUUUAACAAGGGAAUACCUAUUUUAAUAUUAUAAGCAAUAUAAUAUUAUUAUUUAAAUUAAAAUUUACAUUUUUAAUGUUUUUUUUAAGGGUUGUUUGUAUGCUUAAUUUAUAAUUGUUAAAAUUUUAUAAAAUAAGUCUUUUAAAGGAAAAACAAAAACACCUUUGUUAAGCUAAUUAGUAUCAGUUAACUCAUUUAAGUAACAUCUCAAAAGUCAUAGCAAGGUAGCUGUACUGGAAAGUGCUGCUGGAAAAUAAUUAAU
RNAcentral lists this non-coding RNA (2135 nucleotides) under Collybia sordida. Its description in RNAcentral is "Lepista sordida small subunit ribosomal RNA". The stretch from base 9 to 1897 matches the Rfam family "Bacterial small subunit ribosomal RNA". The record is from RNAcentral. Lineage: Eukaryota; Fungi; Basidiomycota; Agaricomycetes; Agaricales; Clitocybaceae.